GGCCGCUCCGGCGGGGCUGCCCAGCGGCUCCUGCACGUCCGAGCCGGGCCCGGGCGGAGUCCGCAGGAUCUUCAUGGGCUCCCCGCUGGGGGAAGCUCGUCUGGAGCUCGGGAGCGGGCGGGACGCUCGCCGUCGUUUCAGAGCCUGGGGUUCGAAUCCCAGCUCCGCCAUAGAGACUUGGCGACCUUGGAUGACCGGUCUCGGGGCCUCAGUUUCCCCUCUCGGGUGAGACACCCAGGAGGCGGAGGAAAGGUUGCGGACCCUACGGGGCGAUCCACCGCUGCCCUGCACGGAGCUGACGCUCAACAAGGGCUGUUGAAUCAAUGUGCACUUUCCUGUUGGUCACAGAACUGAGUCAAGAACUGGGAUGGAAAACAACUUCGCAGUUAAUGUUGGAACUCAGCUCAAAACUCUAUAACUCGUGGCAGACUCUUUCCUCAUGAUAUGACUUAAACUUCUGGUAUCUAUCCGUGUGUUCUGAAAAAGAAUUAAGGAGACUAUAUGUCAUGAGACAUUUUGCAAUAAAGCAAGGCAUAUAGAAAUCUUGAGCCUAAUUUGCUCUCAACGAAUUAUCAAUUAAAAACUCAGAAUCUCAAAGAACAUCCAAAACAAAAUGAGGGCCUAUCCCUGCUCUCUGGAAACUUGAUGUCUAACGAGAAGCAAUGUUUUCAGGUACUGAUGUGCAUGCAUACAAAAUUGCUUCAGUCGUGGCUGACUGUGCGACCCUAAGGACUGUAGUCUGACAGGCUCCUCUGUCCAUGGGAUUCUCUAGUUUCUUACAGGUGGAACCGUCACGAGGCUGUUACCAGGCAGAUAACUGAGGUGACAGAAAUUCUCUAUUAGUAAAAGCUAAGACCAUGCUAAUAGCGGUCUGAUGUCCUGACCUACUCAGACAGAAAGAGAGAACAAACAACCCAAAUGGGUCAGAUGUCCUGGCAGAGGGCCAAAGCACAGAGACCCUAUGGCCAGUAAACUACCCUUCAGCACGGUGGAGCACUUCUCUUUUCACCUUAUGUGCUUAAAAAAUCAACCUCGGCUGUCCACAAGACAGCGCAUCACUAUGGUGAUUGCCAUCAUCACUCACAAUUUAACUAAAUGGUACGGGGAAAUCAUAAACUUCAAAAAUAAAAUGAUUAUUUCUUGGAAACCUGAGUUAAAUGCUUUGACAUGACUUGAUAAAAGCAAGUCAUUAAAAAAAAAUCACUCUCACAUUAUCAGGACAACUAAUAACUAUAAAAGAUUUGGGGAAAAAUGAUAAAAUUUAAGAUUUUUAAAGUCAGACUGCUUUUCAAGUAUCUUUACAUUUUGAUCCACCAUGUGGAAAUUGCAGAUGAUUCCCCAUGUGAAGUUCUUAGUCCUAAGUCGGCAUAUU
Dama dama (fallow deer) is the source of this 1372-nucleotide long non-coding RNA. RefSeq lists it as uncharacterized. Lineage: Eukaryota; Metazoa; Chordata; Mammalia; Artiodactyla; Cervidae. The transcript is spliced from 6 exons. The record is from RefSeq and is a predicted model, not a curated record.